This 206-nucleotide long non-coding RNA is filed under the name Sorghum bicolor (sorghum). Its description in RNAcentral is "long non-coding RNA (SBIC_LNC009433)". Lineage: Eukaryota; Viridiplantae; Streptophyta; Magnoliopsida; Poales; Poaceae. The record is from RNAcentral.
AUUUGUUCCCUCGUCUAUUAAUUCGUUGUUAAGUCACGUGAUAGCUAUGCAUAGCCUUUGUUGGCAAUACACAUAGAUAACACAAGUAGAUAAACAAACUCAUAAAAAACAUAAUCAUUAGUAAUAUUUUAGUAAUUCAAUAUACUAAGCAUAAAUAAAACUAUACAUAAACAUGGUAAAAUAUAACUAAAAAGAAAGAUGCCGCC